This 776-nucleotide ribosomal RNA is filed under the name uncultured Neocallimastigales. RNAcentral describes it as "partial large subunit ribosomal RNA". It matches the Rfam family "Eukaryotic large subunit ribosomal RNA", at positions 22 to 628 of the family's 3401-position model. Lineage: Eukaryota; Fungi; Neocallimastigomycota; Neocallimastigomycetes; Neocallimastigales. The record is from RNAcentral.
GUACACGCUGUGACUAGCAUAUCAAUAAGCGGAGGAAAAGAAACUAACAAGGAUUCCCCCUAGUAACGGCGAGUGAAGCGGGAAGAGCUCAAAUUUGAAAUCUUAAAGGGUUUCCCUUUACGAAUUGUAGUUUAAAGAAGUGUUUUCUGUUGAGGUUUUGGUAAAAGUUCUUUGGAAUAGGACAUCAUAGAGGGUGAGAAUCCCGUAUUUGACCUUUACUUUCAACCUUGUGAUACACUUUCAAAGAGUCGGAUUGUUUGGGAAUGCAGUCCAAAAUGGGUGGUAAAUUUCAUCUAAAGCUAAAUAUUGGCGAGAGACCGAUAGCGAACAAGUACCGUGAGGGAAAGAUGAAAAGAACUUUGAAAAGGAGAGUUAAACAGUACGUGAAAUUGUCAAAAGGGAAGCGUUUGACACCAGUGUUGUUUUUCUGAAAAUCAAUUAAAGAACUGUUUAUGCUAAGCUGUUUAGACUUUAUCAGCUAACUGUUUAGUUUUGAGCUUUUCUUUAAUGCACUUUUCAGUUAACAAGUCAACAUCGAUUUCUUUUGCUGUAAAAAAGCUUGAGGAAGGUGGCUUGAGAUUCGUCUUAAGUGUUUAUAGCCUCUUGCCUAUGCAGUCGGAGAGAUUGAGGUCUGCAGCGUAGAUCCUUCGGGGCUAAAUGCAUUUGUGCUAAGUCAUAGCAUUUUAUAGACAACUUGUUGACUAUGAUUUGUCUUGUAGCUUACUCGCUUAUGUUAUUUUACCUACGCUUAGGAUGUUGAGUCGUAGAGCACGCAG